RNAcentral lists this ribosomal RNA (755 nucleotides) under uncultured bacterium. Its description in RNAcentral is "bacterial SSU rRNA". It matches the Rfam family "Bacterial small subunit ribosomal RNA", at positions 75 to 824 of the family's 1533-position model. The record is from RNAcentral.
UUAGCUUGCUAAGUUUGAUGGCGACCGGCGCACGGGUGAGUAACACGUAUCCAACCUUCCGUUUACUCAGGGAUAGCCUUUCGAAAGAAAGAUUAAUACCUGAUAGUAUGGUGAGAUUGCAUGAUAGCACCAUUAAAGAUUUAUUGGUAAACGAUGGGGAUGCGUUCCAUUAGGUAGUAGGCGGGGUAACGGCCCACCUAGCCGACGAUGGAUAGGGGUUCUGAGAGGAAGGUCCCCCACAUUGGAACUGAGACACGGUCCAAACUCCUACGGGAGGCAGCAGUGAGGAAUAUUGGUCAAUGGGCGAGAGCCUGAACCAGCCAAGUAGCGUGAAGGAUGAAGGUCCUACGGAUUGUAAACUUCUUUUAUACGGGAAUAAAGUAUCCUACGUGUAGGAUUUUGUAUGUACCGUAUGAAUAAGCAUCGGCUAACUCCGUGCCAGCAGCCGCGGUAAUACGGAGGAUGCGAGCGUUAUCCGGAUUUAUUGGGUUUAAAGGGAGCGCAGACGGGAGAUUAAGUCAGUUGUGAAAGUUUGCGGCUCAACCGUAAAAUUGCAGUUGAUACUGGUUUCCUUGAGUGCAGUUGAGGCAGGCGGAAUUCGUGGUGUAGCGGUGUAAUGCUUAGAUAUCACGAAGAACCCCGAUUGCGAAGGCAGCUUGCUAAACUGUAACUGACGUUCAUGCUCGAAAGUGUGGGUAUCAAACAGGAUUAGAUACCCUGGUAGUCCACACGGUAAACGAUGGAUACUCGCUGUU